Dermacentor andersoni is the source of this 692-nucleotide non-coding RNA. The record is from RefSeq and is a predicted model, not a curated record. NCBI's taxonomy places the organism in Eukaryota, Metazoa, Arthropoda, Arachnida, Ixodida, Ixodidae.
AGUUCGUACAGGACAUGUGCAAACCGCAACUGUAUCAAAACUAGUCGCGAAUCACAAACAUUAGAGAUAGCUGAAUGUAUAGUGUAAGCACCAUGCUUGGAAGACGAAGAUAGGCUGGUAGACAUGCGCUAAGGAUAACGCGCUGCUGUCGUGCAAAUCUUGUGGGUCCGUAUUCUCAGUGCUGACAGCGCAGCAAUGACAGGAUCCGCUGCUUCGAAGAAACAGCUUUUGCCUUUAUCCCAGACAUCGUCGAAUUUUAACGAAGAUGCAUUUCAACGGGAGCUCCAGCAGCUUCGCGUUAGUAGGAUUCACGCAUACCCCACGACCAUAUUCGCCAGAGGUGGCCCAAUGCCGACUGUGCCCUCUCGUAAUAGCAUAACUAUUACGGGCCGGAAUGUAUCCCGAACUUCAUUGUUUGAAGCUGGAGCUUCGCCUUGUGACUCGGACGACGUCAGAGCCAUGCAGACCAUGUCCCCUGAACACAUGGAACCAGCAGCGAGGACUCCGGAACCGCGACCGUCAUCUUGCGACAAGGAUGAUGCCAAGAAGUCCGAGCCAUAGACUGCUCGCCACACAACCAGAACAGCGCACCGAUUAGCCUGAUUCGCCGAAAAACCGCAACGAAAAGUGUGCAGCACAGGUAGAAUGAAAUAGUCUCUGACAGCAGAAUAAAAUCGUCUUCUGCAUGAGUA